RNAcentral lists this ribosomal RNA (251 nucleotides) under uncultured bacterium. RNAcentral's name for it is "partial 16S ribosomal RNA". It matches the Rfam family "Bacterial small subunit ribosomal RNA", at positions 524 to 776 of the family's 1533-position model. The record is from RNAcentral.
UACGUAGGGACCAAGCGUUGUCCGGAAUCAUUGGGCGUAAAGAGCGUGUAGGCGGCUUGUUAAGUCUUGCGUGAAAUCUCGGGCUCAACCCCGAGCGGUCGUGAGAAACUGGCAGGCUAGAGUGCGGGAGAGGAGAGUGGAAUUCCUGGUGUAGCGGUGAAAUGCGCAGAUAUCAGGAAGAACACCCGUGGCGAAGGCGGCUCUCUGGAACGCAACUGACGCUGAGACGCGAAAGCGUGGGAGCGAACAGG